RNAcentral lists this unclassified non-coding RNA (339 nucleotides) under soil metagenome. RNAcentral describes it as "partial contains 5.8S ribosomal RNA, internal transcribed spacer 2, and large subunit ribosomal RNA". The stretch from base 1 to 120 matches the Rfam family "5.8S ribosomal RNA", at positions 35 to 154 of the family's 154-position model. The record is from RNAcentral.
GAUGAAGAACGCAGCGAAAUGCGAUAAGUAGUGUGAAUUGCAGAAUUCGGUGAAUCAUCGAAUCUUUGAACGCACAUUGCGCCCCUCGGUAUUCCGUGGGGCAUGCCUGUUCGAGCGUCAUUUAACCCCUCAAGCCUAGCUUGGUAUUGGGUGCUUGUCCCGCCUCUCGCGCGGCGACUCACCUCAAAGUCAUUGGCAGCCCGCAUCUCGCCGGCCGUGAGCGCAGCACAGACGCGCUCUUGGCAACGACGGAUCGGCUCUCCAAAAGCUUAUUUCAACCACUGACCUCGGAUCAGGUAGGGAUACCCGCUGAACUUAAGCAUAUCAAUAAGCGGAGGA